GAGCUUCCAGUGGGCUGGAAACCUGGCUGCCGAGAGAACACAGACCCCAGGAGCCUCGGGGGUGGGGGGGGCUUUGAUCAGUCACCGGCUGUCAAGUAACCUGGAUGUCCGUGGUUUAUGUAAAUGUGAACAGUCUGUGUUCGUCCUGUUGCUCAGCCGGGAAGAUAGGGAGACACCAUGGAAGCUGCUAUGAAACUCUCACGACUCUGAAGACACGGAGGAGGCGUGCACAGAAUCGAGAGAGCAUGUCCAAGAUCCACAGGUCCAGCACGAUAUGCAGGGCAAUCAGCGUAAAGCGGCAGACCAAAGCAGCACCCAAAGGUGGAUGCUUGUGCCUGAGACUCAAACUGGACCCCAGUUGGAGCAACAAGAAAAACUGUGCUUCAGAAAUAGCACACAG
This is a long non-coding RNA of Neogale vison (American mink), 400 nucleotides long. RefSeq lists it as uncharacterized. NCBI's taxonomy places the organism in Eukaryota, Metazoa, Chordata, Mammalia, Carnivora, Mustelidae. The record is from RefSeq and is a predicted model, not a curated record. The transcript is spliced from 3 exons.